AUAUUCUAUGAUUCAGGGGAGAUACCAUGAUCACGAAGGUGGUUUUCCCAGGGUGAGGCUCAUCCAUUGCACUGCAGUUGUGCUGACUCCUGAGAUUUCCCCAAAUGCGGGAAUCUCGACUGCAUAAUUUGUAGUAGUGAGUGACUGCAUUCGUGCUCUUUG
Chelonia mydas (Green sea turtle) is the source of this 162-nucleotide non-coding RNA. The record is from Rfam. Lineage: Eukaryota; Metazoa; Chordata; Testudines; Cheloniidae.